GUGACAUACUUCAACAUCAAUCUUUCCAGGUCAUGUGAUACAGUCCUAUGUUACAAAGUUCAACAUUAAUCUUUCCAGUUCCUGUUAUACAGUCCGAUAUUACAUGGUUCAAUGAUGUUUCUGAUGUUUAAUGGUUCAGCAUCAAUCUUUCUUGAUUGUGUGAUACAGUCCUAUGUUACAAAGUUCAACAUAAAACUUUACAGAUCGCGUGAUACAGUCUGAUGUUACAUGGUUCAACAUAAAUCUUUGCAGGUCGUGUGAUACAGUCCGAUGUUACAUGGUUCAACAUCAAUCUUUCCAGUUCCUGUGAUACAGUCUGAUGUAACAUGGUUCAACAUAAAUAUUUGCAGAUCCUGUAAUACACUGCGAUGACACAAGCUGUGAUUUUCGGAUGGUUUCCUUUAAUGACUUCCAGUGGCAUACAGAUACAGACUACUUAUUUCUGAGAAACAACGCACCAGACUUUGACAGACUCAACCCGAAUCUAAAGUCUUAACAGGGGAGCCGAUCCUACUGCUGCCAGUGUUGUCACAUGAACAUGGAUUCUCUCACAGAAAUUAGGGAUCUCCCAGUGAAGUGGGUUUGUGGUAACCACUGACCGGACACAGAUCAUAGUGUGUGAUGUGUUACUGAGGGAUUGAGAUAGUGUGAUCUGCCAUUCAUUGCCUUCAAUAUACAUCCGGUGAUUGGGAACAGUGAUACAGUCUAUAUACAUUCUAAUACUUCCUGACAUAUCAAAUAAUUGAGCAGAUGGCAGGUAAAAAUUGUAUCAAUGGGAUUAAAUUACAGCAUGUUAAUUGUUAUGAGUAAAAGUUUAGGAUAAACUUUGAUAAUUUAUGAUAUGACUACGAUGUGCAAUUAUGUGUAAACAAUAACGUUUUAAUUGCACCUAUAAUAUAGAGAUCACAUGCAGGAUUAUUGGAUCAGGUUGUUAUAAUGAAACAGACAUAAAUCACAGUGAUUUUUUAAAACCAAUUGGGACCAUAAAUCACAAGAAAAGCUAAAAAAAACUUAUGAACAAAUCAAAAUUCACAAUUCACAAUUUCUGCUUAUAACUGUUUGUUUGAAUGCUAUUUCAACGGAAAUUGAACCCAGGCCCAUUCACCAAGGACUGGAUAAUGACACUUGAUCCUGUCUUGAUAAUGGGCUUACUCCGUUUGCAUCUAUUGCAUAUGUAUCCGUCAAUUUCUUUGUACAAGACUUGUUAAUGCAUUUAUUGCAAAUCCGUCAAUUGGUUUACACAAGACAUGAAACACAGACAUAAUCUCUGUUGUUUUUGAUGAAUAUUUUUGCUUAUGUUUCUGUACUGUCAAUAUGUAUAAGUACCAAUUUAAUGUGCACAUAUGGUAGUUCUUGGAAUUGUUCUGGACACAAAUCUCACCUCCAAUUUAAAUUGACAUUUGUGAAAAGAAUUAAGUGCCAUCUUUUUCGUUUUAUGAUUUUUUUGUUUACUUCUUUUAAAAGAGCUAUUUUACAUUGAUAAAUUUAAUUUUGCAGUUCUCUGAUUUUAA
This is a long non-coding RNA of Dreissena polymorpha, 1511 nucleotides long. RefSeq lists it as uncharacterized. The record is from RefSeq and is a predicted model, not a curated record. Lineage: Eukaryota; Metazoa; Mollusca; Bivalvia; Myida; Dreissenidae. The transcript is spliced from 3 exons.